RNAcentral lists this ribosomal RNA (253 nucleotides) under uncultured bacterium. RNAcentral's name for it is "partial 16S ribosomal RNA". It matches the Rfam family "Bacterial small subunit ribosomal RNA", at positions 524 to 776 of the family's 1533-position model. The record is from RNAcentral.
UACGUAGGGUGCGAGCGUUGUCCGGAAUUAUUGGGCGUAAAGGGCUCGUAGGCGGUUUGUCGCGUCGGGAGUGAAAACACCGGGCUUAACUCGGUGCUUGCUUUCGAUACGGGCAGACUAGAGGCAUGCAGGGGAGAACGGAAUUCCUGGUGUAGCGGUGAAAUGCGCAGAUAUCAGGAGGAACACCGGUGGCGAAGGCGGGUCUCUGGGCCGUAACUGACGCUGAGGAGCGAAAGCAUGGGGAGCGAACAGG